GGGACAUCCUAAAGUAAGUUUAGGGUAUACGUUCUAUAAUCCUACUUAGCAAAAGGUGUUUGUUGCGAAACACGCUACCUUUUAAGAUAAAGAUGUUUAUCAUUGAAGGAGCUAGUGGGAGGAUAAUAGAUCUUGAAGAGUUUAAGAACCAUAAAUCACUAUAAGUCAAAUAAGAGGAACCUGUAGAUAGACCUAUUGUACCACAACCGAAUCGUAAAU
Molecule: long non-coding RNA, 219 nt
Filed under: Panax ginseng (ginseng)
Lineage: Eukaryota; Viridiplantae; Streptophyta; Magnoliopsida; Apiales; Araliaceae
Description: long non-coding RNA (PGIN_LNC007368)
Source: RNAcentral